Molecule: ribosomal RNA, 359 nt
Filed under: Weissella cibaria
Lineage: Bacteria; Bacillati; Bacillota; Bacilli; Lactobacillales; Lactobacillaceae
Description: bacterial SSU rRNA
Rfam family: Bacterial small subunit ribosomal RNA
Source: RNAcentral
CUAGUUGCCAGCAUUUAGUUGGGCACUCUAGUGAGACUGCCGGUGACAAACCGGAGGAAGGUGGGGAUGACGUCAAAUCAUCAUGCCCCUUAUGACCUGGGCUACACACGUGCUACAAUGGCGUAUACAACGAGUUGCCAACCCGCGAGGGUGAGCUAAUCUCUUAAAGUACGUCUCAGUUCGGAUUGUAGGCUGCAACUCGCCUACAUGAAGUCGGAAUCGCUAGUAAUCGCGGAUCAGCACGCCGCGGUGAAUACGUUCCCGGGUCUUGUACACACCGCCCGUCACACCAUGAGAGUUUGUAACACCCAAAGCCGGUGGGGUAACCUUCGGGAGCCAGCCGUCUAAGGUGGGACAGA